CAAGGUUUCCGUAGGUGAACCUGCGGAAGGNUCAUUG
This 37-nucleotide ribosomal RNA is filed under the name Globba orixensis. Its description in RNAcentral is "partial 18S ribosomal RNA". Lineage: Eukaryota; Viridiplantae; Streptophyta; Magnoliopsida; Zingiberales; Zingiberaceae. The record is from RNAcentral.